GAUGAACGCUGGCUACAGGCUUAACACAUGCAAGUCGAGGGGAAACGCCGGGGAAGCUUGCUUCCCCGGGCGUCGACCGGCGCACGGGUGAGUAACGCGUAUCCAACCUGCCUCUGACUGAGGGAUAACCCGUCGAAAGUCGGCCUAAUACCUCAUGGUAUCGUCUGCGGGCAUCCAACGACGAUUAAAGAUUUCAUCGGUCAGGGAUGGGGAUGCGUCUGAUUAGCUUGUUGGCGGGGUAACGGCCCACCAAGGCUACGAUCAGUAGGGGUUCUGAGAGGAAGGUCCCCCACAUUGGAACUGAGACACGGUCCAAACUCCUACGGGAGGCAGCAGUGAGGAAUAUUGGUCAAUGGGCGAGAGCCUGAACCAGCCAAGUAGCGUGCAGGAAGACGGCCCUAUGGGUUGUAAACUGCUUUUAGGCGGGGAUAAAGUGAGGGACGUGUCCCUCAUUGCAGGUACCGCAUGAAUAAGGACCGGCUAAUUCCGUG
RNAcentral lists this ribosomal RNA (491 nucleotides) under uncultured bacterium. RNAcentral's name for it is "partial 16S ribosomal RNA". It matches the Rfam family "Bacterial small subunit ribosomal RNA", at positions 28 to 507 of the family's 1533-position model. The record is from RNAcentral.